GACGAACGCUGGCGGCGUGCCUAAUACAUGCAAGUAGAACGCUGAAGAGAGGAGCUUGCUCUUCUUGGAUGAGUUGCGAACGGGUGAGUAACGCGUAGGUAACCUGCCUUGUAGCGGGGGAUAACUAUUGGAAACGAUAGCUAAUACCGCAUAACAAUGGAUGACACAUGUCAUUUAUUUGAAAGGGGCAAUUGCUCCACUACAAGAUGGACCUGCGUUGUAUUAGCUAGUAGGUGAGGUAACGGCUCACCUAGGCGACGAUACAUAGCCGACCUGAGAGGGUGAUCGGCCACACUGGGACUGAGACACGGCCCAGACUCCUACGGGAGGCAGCAGUAGGGAAUCUUCGGCAAUGGGGGCAACCCUGACCGAGCAACGCCGCGUGAGUGAAGAAGGUUUUCGGAUCGUAAAGCUCUGUUGUAAGUCAAGAACGAGUGUGAGAGUGGAAAGUUCACACUGUGACGGUAGCUUACCAGAAAGGGACGGCUAACUACGU
Molecule: ribosomal RNA, 496 nt
Filed under: uncultured bacterium
Lineage: Bacteria
Description: partial 16S ribosomal RNA
Rfam family: Bacterial small subunit ribosomal RNA
Source: RNAcentral